CCCUCAUCAGACUGAAAUGGCACUUAUAACACAUAUAUAUAUGCAAAGUUCUCAUCAAUAGAAACGGAUUAAGUUCAAACAGCAGGUAAUUGCUAUAAAUCGUUAAAGAGUUCCCUCGACUAACUUUUAUCUCCAUCAUCAGACUGUAAUGGCACUUAUAACUCAUACAGGUGCAAAGUUCUCAUCUAUAGAAACGAAUUAAGUUCAAAAAGCAGGUAAUUGCUAUAAAUUCUUAAAGAGUCCCCUCGACUAUCUUUCGUCUCCAUCAUCAGACUUUAAUGGCACUUGUAACUCAUAUAGGUGCAAAAUUCUCAUCAAUAGAAACGAAUUAAGUUCAAACAGCAGGUAAUUGCUAUAAGUCGUUGAAGAGUACCCCCGAAUAUCUUUCGUCUCCAUCAUUAGACUGAAAUGGCACUUAUAACUCAUAUAUAUGCAAAGUUCUCAUCAAUAGAAACGAAUUAAGUUCAAAAAGCAGGUAAUUGCUAUAAAUUGUUGAAGAGUUCCCUCGACUAUCUCUCUUCUCCAUCAUCAGAUCGACUCCAGACCUUUAUUAAAUAGUAGUGCUUUAUAGUACCUAAUGAAAACAUGAUUAAAUUUACUAGUCAUCCUUACGAUUUUUGAAAGUUUCCCUCGAUUUCUCUGGGAUCCCAUCAUCAGAUCCUGGUUUCCUUAUCAUGGUACCAAACUAUGAAUAUCUCCUUUCCAACAAAAAAAGAAUUAUCAAAAUCGGUUCAUAAACGAAGAAGUUAUCUCCGAACAUACAUAAAAAAAAAAAAAAAUAUAUACGCCAAAAAAAAAAAAAAAAAAAAAAAAAAAAAAAAAAAAAAAAAAAAAAAAAAAAAAAAAAAAAAAAAAAAAAAAAAAAAAAAACGAAAAGCACUACCUAUCUUUUCUCGAAGUGCUUCGUCGUUUUUUUGAACCCCCAUAACUUGGGUUUGGAUUAUA
This 945-nucleotide unclassified non-coding RNA is filed under the name Melitaea cinxia (Glanville fritillary). RNAcentral describes it as "misc RNA ENSMCXG00005012516.1". Lineage: Eukaryota; Metazoa; Arthropoda; Insecta; Lepidoptera; Nymphalidae. The record is from RNAcentral.